Spodoptera frugiperda (fall armyworm) is the source of this 650-nucleotide long non-coding RNA. RefSeq lists it as uncharacterized. The record is from RefSeq and is a predicted model, not a curated record. The transcript has 2 exons. NCBI's taxonomy places the organism in Eukaryota, Metazoa, Arthropoda, Insecta, Lepidoptera, Noctuidae.
UACAUAAGAGGAUAAAUGAUAUUUAUUUCUGUAAAUAGGUUAUAAAAUAACACUUUUACACGUCAAUAUUUCAAAUAACUAGAUGAGGCCGGCAUUUCCUAUCCGACUACUCUGAGAAGAAAUGCCGAAACAAACUCAGAGGUCAGUCUCUUUUAAAGUCCAGACAAAUCAAAUAAAGAAUAAUGUGAGAGAACCGUGCAAGUUGAUUCUGUAGUGGUCUUUAGAGGAAAGAACCACAACAGUAUGAGGGGUUUGACAUAAUCUCCACACUUGUCAAGAUUGGAGAUCGCAGUAUAAAAGGUUCAGGUUUAUCAGAGAGCGCUGCUGCACGGUCUCUGUCUAAUGUGUAGUCCCUUAAUCGGGUAUACCACACCCAACGGGAAGAGUAGAGGUAACAAUGACUUGAAAUUCAACAUAUUACAUUAGUAUAUAAAAUUGACUAGUAUAUAAGUAAUGUGAUUUUAGACAUAUAAGUCCGUGAAUGAAUUUCAAGUAGAUAUAUAACAUUCCUAUAUAAAAAUAAUCCAAUAUACUAUGUUUUACCCGAGGCGUUACUUGCCUGUCUUUAUCCAUACUCCCAACUAAAUAUAUGCAAAAUUAUUAAAAUAUAGCUUGAGUGCAUAAAGCGACUUAAUUUCGCAUUUAUAAUA